Molecule: ribosomal RNA, 464 nt
Filed under: Vreelandella stevensii
Lineage: Bacteria; Pseudomonadati; Pseudomonadota; Gammaproteobacteria; Oceanospirillales; Halomonadaceae
Description: partial 16S ribosomal RNA
Rfam family: Bacterial small subunit ribosomal RNA
Source: RNAcentral
CCUACGGGAGGCUGCAGUGGGGAAUAUUGGACAAUGGGGGGAACCCUGAUCCAGCCAUGCCGCGUGUGUGAAGAAGGCCCUCGGGUUGUAAAGCACUUUCAGUGAGGAAGAACGCCUGGUGGUUAAUACCCAUCAGGAAAGACAUCACUCACAGAAGAAGCACCGGCUAACUCCGUGCCAGCAGCCGCGGUAAUACGGAGGGUGCGAGCGUUAAUCGGAAUUACUGGGCGUAAAGCGCGCGUAGGUGGCUUGAUAAGCCGGUUGUGAAAGCCCCGGGCUCAACCUGGGAACGGCAUCCGGAACUGUCAAGCUAGAGUGCAGGAGAGGAAGGUAGAAUUCCCGGUGUAGCGGUGAAAUGCGUAGAGAUCGGGAGGAAUACCAGUGGCGAAGGCGGCCUUCUGGACUGACACUGACACUGAGGUGCGAAAGCGUGGGUAGCAAACAGGAUUAAUACCCUUGUAGUC